Molecule: transfer RNA, 83 nt
Filed under: Cordylochernes scorpioides
Lineage: Eukaryota; Metazoa; Arthropoda; Arachnida; Pseudoscorpiones; Chernetidae
Description: tRNA-Thr
Rfam family: tRNA (bases 10-82)
About the family: Transfer RNA (tRNA) molecules are approximately 80 nucleotides in length.
Source: RNAcentral
GUCCAGGCUACUAGGGUAGCCUAGUGGACAUGGCAUCUGACCGGUAAGCGGAACAUUGUGGGUUCGUUUCCCAUCCCUGGACA